This 21-nucleotide non-coding RNA is filed under the name Arabidopsis thaliana (thale cress). The record is from RNAcentral. Lineage: Eukaryota; Viridiplantae; Streptophyta; Magnoliopsida; Brassicales; Brassicaceae.
UCAGGUGCAGAGCUUUGUCUA